Long non-coding RNA from Gopherus evgoodei (Goodes thornscrub tortoise), 225 nucleotides. RefSeq lists it as uncharacterized. The transcript is spliced from 3 exons. NCBI's taxonomy places the organism in Eukaryota, Metazoa, Chordata, Testudines, Testudinidae. The record is from RefSeq and is a predicted model, not a curated record.
CCGUCACUCUGGCGCUCGCCCGGUGCUGACGGAGCCAAUGAGGGGCGCGCGGGGGGACGUUCUCUGCCGCCCCCGCUCGGAGCCGCAGGCACCAGGCUGCAGCGUAACAUUCAUGUUUUGCUCCAGAUCAUUCCAUCCUUCCAGGGACCAGGGAAGGGAAAUGACUGCAGUGGAGCCAGUUGAGGGACCAGUGACCUUCGAGGAGGUGGCUGUGUAUUUCACCAA